UAUACAACCGUACCGCAAACCGACACUGGUGCGCGAGAUGAGUAUUCUAAGGCGCUUGAGAGAACUCAGGAGAAGGAACUCGGCAAAUUGACACCGUAACUUCGGAAGAAGGUGUGCCCUAUUAGUGUGUAGUGAACAACGAAGCAUGAAUGGGUUGCAAAAAAUCGGUGGCUGCGACUGUUUAUUAAAAACACAGCACUCUGCAAACACGAAAGUGGACGUAUAGGGUGUGACGCCUGCCCGGUGCUGGAAGAUUAAAUGAUGGGGUGCAAGCUCUUGAUUGGAGUCCCAGUAAACGGCGGCCGUAACAAUAACGGUCCUAAGGUAGCGAAAUUCCUUGUCGGGUAAGUUCCGACCUGCACGAAUGGCGUGACGAUGGCCACACUGUCUCCUCCUGAGACUCAGCGAAGUUGAAAUGUUUGUGAUGAUGCAAUCUCCCCGCGGAAAGACGGAAAGACCCCAUGAACCUUUACUGUAGCUUUGUAUUGGACUUUGAACAGAUCUGUGUAGGAUAGGUGGGAGGCUUUGAAGCAGGGUCGCUAGAUCUUGUGGAGCCAACGUUGAAAUACCACCCUGGUGUGUUUGAGGUUCUAACCUAGGUCCAUUAUCUGGAUCGGGGACAGUGCAUGGUAGGCAGUUUGACUGGGGCGGUCUCCUCCCAAAGCGUAACGGAGGAGUUCGAAGGUACGCUAGUUACGGUCGGACAUCGUGACGAUAGUGCAAUGGCAUAAGCGUGCUUAACUGCGAGACUGACAAGUCGAGCAGAUGCGAAAGCAGGACAUAGUGAUCCGGUGGUUCUGUAUGGAAGGGCCAUCGCUCAACGGAUAAAAGGUACUCUGGGGAUAACAGGCUGAUACCGCCCAAGAGUUCAUAUCGACGGCGGUGUUUGGCACCUCGAUGUCGGCUCAUCUCAUCCUGGGGCUGUAGCCGGUCCCAAGGGUAUGGCUGUUCGCCAUUUAAAGAGGUACGUGAGCUGGGUUUAAAACGUCGUGAGACAGUUUGGUCCCUAUCUUCCGUGGGCGCUGCAGAUUUGAGGAAGCCUGCUCCUAGUACGAGAGGACCGGAGUGGACACACCUCUGGUGUAUCGGUUGUCACGCCAGUGGCAUUGCCGAGUAGCUAAGUGUGGAAGAGAUAACCGCUGAAAGCAUCUAAGCGGGAAACUCGUUUCAAGAUGAGAUCUGCCGGGGCCUUGAGCCCCCUAAAGAGUCGUUCAAGACCAGGACGUUGAUAGGUCAGGUGUGGAAGC
RNAcentral lists this ribosomal RNA (1247 nucleotides) under metagenome. RNAcentral's name for it is "bacterial LSU rRNA". It matches the Rfam family "Bacterial large subunit ribosomal RNA", at positions 1635 to 2874 of the family's 2925-position model. The record is from RNAcentral.